RNAcentral lists this long non-coding RNA (1556 nucleotides) under Rhinopithecus bieti (black snub-nosed monkey). RNAcentral's name for it is "lncRNA (ENSRBIG00000045770.1)". Lineage: Eukaryota; Metazoa; Chordata; Mammalia; Primates; Cercopithecidae. The record is from RNAcentral.
AACAUAUUUUUUUUAACCUUUGUAGGACCUUUAGCCCAUCAAAACCUGCAAAAUCUUUACAUACCCAGAAGAAUAGACAGUUCUUCAAUGAACCAGAAGAACAUUUCUGGAUGGUCAUGGUUGUUCGGAAUCCUAUAAUUGAAAAACAGAGUAAAGAUGGAAAACCAGUUAUUGAAUAUCAAGAGGAGGAGUUGUUGGACAAGGUUUAUAGUUCAGUGCUACAGCAGUGCUACAGCAUGUACAAGCUUUUUAAUGGAACAUUUCUGAAAGCCAUGGAAGACGGAGGCGUCGAGCUUCUGAAAGAAAGAUUAGAGAAAUUCUUCCAUCGGGUAAGUACUUUGAAUUUCAUUUAUAACUUCAGUGAGCAUUCAGCAGAUUUUUAGAGAAAUAUGGACAGACAAAUUUGUUUCUUACGUACAAAAAACCCAGAACUUGAAAGUGGCAAAGAGCCUGAGACGGACCGUCGUAAAACUGGAGCAGCAAGGAACCGUGUGAGGUGAACGCUCUGGACCCUCCUCCAGCUGGAAGGCAGAGCUUCCUGCAUUCGCCCGGGGCUCUUAAAGAGUCCUGGAGUCAUCGUUUGGCCUCCUUGUGUUUUACCUGCGUCUGUCCUGGGCUUACUCAGCAGCCGUCUUUUGUGUGAUGGAUGAGUUGAUAAGGAAAACGUGAUUAUUGGAGUUGCACAUUCUUAGGGAUGGGCUCUGUUCACUAAACAGGCAUAAGCUGUGUCGAUGCAGGAAGAGUUACUGAGUUACUGGCUGUGGGCCUUUGUCAGAUGAGUGAUUAGGGACAUUUGUCCCAAGUGCUGUUCUUCCAUUGUGAUUGAAUUGUGCAUAUUUCACCCGACCUUGUCAAGCUCAGUUUAUCUUUUUUUUUUUAAAAGGAAACAAGAGACAGGGUCUUGUCCUGGCUGUUUUGCCCAGCCUGGUCUCAAGCGAUCUUCCCUCCUCAGCCUCCCAAAGUGCUGGGGUUAAAGGCAUAAGCCAACUCGCCCAGCCCAGUUUCCCUUGAAGAAACAAUUCUCAGUUUAUUUUCUUCGGAAAAUACCUUCUGUGUCUGUUGUUGAGUUCAACUUUUCUCUCUAAAAUGGCUUUCAUAGCUAUUUUCGAAUUUUUUAUUUCUCUGAAUUACUUCUUUGUUGUUUUGUCAUUUUAAUGAGCACAAUUAUCCACUCGCAUAUUAUCUCCUGGUUUCUGUUCUUGUCCUCAUUGCUCUCUUACCCAUCAACAUAUGGAUACAACUCUUGUCCUGACUACAUAUCAUUUACACCUGAUUUUAGUAUAAGAUGGCACUCUCGGCUGGGCGUGGUGGCUCACACCUGUAAUCCCAGCACUUUGGGAGGCCGAGGCAGGCAGAUCAUGAGGUCAUGAGUUCAAGACCAGCCUGGCCAACAUGGUGAAACCUCACCUCUACUAAAAUAUUAAAAAAAACUAGCUGGCUGUGGUGGCGCAUGCCUGUAAUCCUAGCUGUUCUGGGGACCGAGGCAGGAGAAUCGCUUGAACCCAGGAGGCAGAAGUUACAGUGAGCCAAGAUCGCAGCACUGCACUCCAUCCUGG